This 253-nucleotide ribosomal RNA is filed under the name uncultured bacterium. RNAcentral describes it as "partial 16S ribosomal RNA". It matches the Rfam family "Bacterial small subunit ribosomal RNA", at positions 524 to 776 of the family's 1533-position model. The record is from RNAcentral.
UACGGGGGGGGCAAGCGUUGUUCGGAAUUACUGGGCGUAAAGGGCUCGUAGGCGGCCAACUAAGUCGGACGUGAAAUCCCUCGGCUUAACCGGGGAACUGCGUCCGAUACUGGAUGGCUUGAGUUCGGGAGAGGGAUGCGGAAUUCCAGGUGUAGCGGUGAAAUGCGUAGAGAUCGGGAGGAAGGCCGGUGGCGAAGGCGGCGCUCUGGAACAUUCCUGACGCUGAGGCUCGAAAGCGUGGGGAGCGAACAGG